ACGCCCAGCCUUCAGGGAUCAUUUCUAUAGUUCAUUACUAGAUAUGUUUCUCUGACCUUGUAGAGUACCAGAAACCAUGAGGGGAGACGUAGCAUUCUCUCCUGAGUGUGACCUGGCUCUUGGUGUUGCUUCACUGCAACUGCCUUUUGCCAUUGAUGAUUGUUCUUUUUCAGGAGAGUAGAGGGAAAGGAUGCAGUCUGAGUGGU
Nannospalax galili (Upper Galilee mountains blind mole rat) is the source of this 206-nucleotide small nucleolar RNA. Its record names the gene U3. It matches the Rfam family "Small nucleolar RNA U3". Rfam says of the family: Small nucleolar RNAs (snoRNAs) are involved in the processing and modification of rRNA in the nucleolus. There are two main classes of snoRNAs: the box C/D class, and the box H/ACA class. U3 snoRNA is a member of the box C/D class. Lineage: Eukaryota; Metazoa; Chordata; Mammalia; Rodentia; Spalacidae. The record is from Ensembl.